Molecule: long non-coding RNA, 377 nt
Organism: Anopheles aquasalis
Lineage: Eukaryota; Metazoa; Arthropoda; Insecta; Diptera; Culicidae
Source: RefSeq, a predicted model, not a curated record
CUGCAUUCUGCAUGUUGCUGCUACACAAAUCAAGUUGUCGUUGCAUCGUUCACAUUACAAUGAAGUACACGUUCGCACUUCUAACAAUCUUUGCUCUUUUCGUAGCAGCUGUUUACUGUGAUGAUGAGGAGAGGUUCAUUCCUGCCCUUCGAGAGCCAAUGGCACACCUAAUGGCAGCUGUCAAGGAAGGAGUCAAGUCUGCCGAUAAAUUUCUCGAUCUGAUCCCCAGUGGCUAGUGACAACAACGACGACCGCACCAAUACGUCAGCUCUGGGCCAGUCAAGAAAAGUACAUUCGUUUAUAAUUCAAUACACAUCCAAGGUGCAUAAUGUACUACUAUAUCCCAAAUAUCAAAUAAAGAGGCCUUAAACAUUGCA